UACGAAGGGGGCAAGCGUUGUCCGGAAUUACUGGGCGUAAAGGGCGCGUAGGCGGCUUAUCAAGUCAGGCGUGAAAUUCCCGGGCUCAACCUGGGGGCUGCGCUUGAUACUGAUUGGCUUGAAUGCGGGAGAGGAUAGUGGAAUUCCCAGUGUAGAGGUGAAAUUCGUAGAUAUUGGGAAGAACACCGGUGGCGAAGGCGGCUAUCUGGCCCGUAAUUGACGCUGAGGCGCGAAAGCGUGGGGAUCAAACAGG
RNAcentral lists this ribosomal RNA (253 nucleotides) under uncultured bacterium. RNAcentral describes it as "partial 16S ribosomal RNA". It matches the Rfam family "Bacterial small subunit ribosomal RNA", at positions 524 to 776 of the family's 1533-position model. The record is from RNAcentral.